UAAAGUUACAGUGAGACACUCAGCAUGGC
This 29-nucleotide non-coding RNA is filed under the name Mus musculus (house mouse). Lineage: Eukaryota; Metazoa; Chordata; Mammalia; Rodentia; Muridae. The record is from RNAcentral.